Molecule: transfer RNA, 73 nt
Filed under: archaeon
Lineage: Archaea
Also listed under: 1 other name
Description: tRNA-Gly
Rfam family: tRNA
About the family: Transfer RNA (tRNA) molecules are approximately 80 nucleotides in length. Their secondary structure includes four short double-helical elements and three loops (D, anti-codon, and T loops). Further hydrogen bonds mediate the characteristic L-shaped molecular structure. tRNAs have two regions of fundamental functional importance: the anti-codon, which is responsible for specific mRNA codon recognition, and the 3' end, to which the tRNAs corresponding amino acid is attached (by aminoacyl-tRNA synthetases). tRNAs cope with the degeneracy of the genetic code in two manners: having more than one tRNA (with a specific anti-codon) for a particular amino acid; and 'wobble' base-pairing, i.e. permitting non-standard base-pairing at the 3rd anti-codon position.
Source: RNAcentral
GCGGGUGUAGCUCAAUCGGUAGAGCGUGACCUUGCCAAGGUCGAGGUAGUGGGUUCGAAACCCAUCUCCCGCU